This 491-nucleotide ribosomal RNA is filed under the name uncultured bacterium. RNAcentral describes it as "partial 16S ribosomal RNA". It matches the Rfam family "Bacterial small subunit ribosomal RNA", at positions 29 to 506 of the family's 1533-position model. The record is from RNAcentral.
AGUGAACGCUGGCGGUAGGCCUAACACAUGCAAGUCGAACGGCAGCACAGUAAGAGCUUGCUCUUACGGGUGGCGAGUGGCGGACGGGUGAGGAAUACAUCGGAAUCUACUUUUUCGUGGGGGAUAACGUAGGGAAACUUACGCUAAUACCGCAUACGACCUACGGGUGAAAGCAGGGGAUCUUCGGACCUUGCGCGAUUGAAUGAGCCGAUGUCGGAUUAGCUAGUUGGCGGGGUAAAGGCCCACCAAGGCGACGAUCCGUAGCUGGUCUGAGAGGAUGGUCCGCCACACUGGAACUGAGACACGGUCCAGACUCCUACGGGAGGCAGCAGUGGGGAAUAUUGGACAAUGGGCGCAAGCCUGAUCCAGCCAUACCGCGUGGGUGAAGAAGGCCUUCGGGUUGUAAAGCCCUUUUGUUGGGAAAGAAAAGCAGCAGGUUAAUACCCCGCUGUUCUGACGGUACCCAAAGAAUAAGCACCGGCUAACUUCGU